GAAGUGUUUAGAAUAAGAGCAGAACACCCAGAUGAUAAUCAAGCCAUAUUGAAUGAUAGAGUGAAAGGACAAUUAAAAGUCACCAGAGCAUUUGGUGCCGGAUUCCUGAAGAGGUUUAACUUCCUUGGUAAAGAUUCUAUCAAGUAUGAGAAUACAAUUGAGGUUGAGCUUCCUGUUUACGAUGCAAUUUUGAAGUUCCAAAAAGAUAAGCGCCCCGGUGAUGAUCUUUUUGACAAGUUGGAUACAAGUAAAUUAAAUGCUCAUCUGAAGGAACUCAUGCCUGGCCUAACUGCAAAGGUCUUCCGUACAUUCAAUGCAUCUAUCACGUUGGAUGAUAUGUUGAAUAAGGAAACUAAAGAGGGUGAUGUUGUCGAAAAGAUUCUUGUUUAUCAACAUGCAAAUAAACAGGUUGCAAUCAUUUGUAAUCAUCAACGCAGUGUUUCAAAAUCUCACUUGUCACAAAUUGAAAAGUUAACAAACAAGAUUGGUGAGCUUCAGGAUGUUCUGAAGGAGCUAAAGACAGAUUUGGACAGAGCAAGGAAAGGAAGGUCCCCUCUAAAGGGUUCAGAUGGAAAGACAAAAAGGAACUUGGCCCCUGAAGCGCUAGAGAAAAGAUCUCUCAAACCAAUGCAAAGAUUGAGAAAAUGGAACGUGAUAUGAAGACAAAAGAAGAUCUGAAAACUGUGGCAUUGGGCACGUCCAAGAUAAACUAUCUUGACCCUAGGAUUACAGUUGCCUGGUGCAAACGGAAUGAGGUUCCCAUUGAAAAGGUUAUUGUAGGAGAGAUCAAGCACUCCCAAGCUGCUCAUGUCACCAACUUGUGGAGGGACUUUUCCAGUGAGUUGAUUGUGGGAAAGAUCAAGUGCUUCUAAUUUCAACAGAUUCCCAAGAAAAGUUGGGAUUUCACUUGAGAGAUUGUUGUAUCUGAGGUCUAAAUUGAUCUGGAGAUUUUGGAGUUUUUCAAUUUCUGUUUUAGUAUGGAAAAUAACACAGCUUUUAGUAUAGUUGAUAGUUUUAGUAUGGUUGAAUAAUACAUUGAGGAUUAUAGUUGAUGUAUCAAUACAUUUUGUUUGUAUUUUGAAUUAUAUUGACUUGUUUGUUUAUUAUAGUACUUUUCUUUUAGUUUGAUAAUACAA
Arachis duranensis is the source of this 1136-nucleotide RNA transcript. It is a transcript of the gene named DNA topoisomerase 1 alpha, with no coding region annotated. The record is from RefSeq and is a predicted model, not a curated record. Lineage: Eukaryota; Viridiplantae; Streptophyta; Magnoliopsida; Fabales; Fabaceae.